Molecule: non-coding RNA, 435 nt
Organism: Phascolarctos cinereus (koala)
Lineage: Eukaryota; Metazoa; Chordata; Mammalia; Diprotodontia; Phascolarctidae
Source: RefSeq, a predicted model, not a curated record
GCUGACUCACUGGGUGAACCUUGAGUAGCUCCACCACCUAUCCAAAGCUCAAAGCGCUCAUCACUGGAGCUACGAAUCCCUGCCUCCCUCCCAGGUAGUACCUUCUAGAAGAGAAUCCAAAGGUGGACUUCUAAGUGCUGAGAAGCCCAGGUGGCAGCCUGUGGGGCAGUCUAAACCCUGGCACUGAGGACAUUAGAGGAAAAGGCACGGAGGCCAGAGGUGGGAUGUCUUGUUCAGGACACAGUAUAUUGAGAAUCAUUGGAGAAAGUCAUGAAAUUGAGAUGAUUUAACCCAUAAAAAAUUCCUGUGGAUUAAGAGCCUCAGCCUCCUCAUCUGUGAAAUUUGUAUAAUACCCACAAAACAAACUUCAGAGUGUCCUUUCGAGGAAAAUACUUUGCAAACCUUAAAUAAAUGUGAGUUACCAUUAUCAUUAUU